AAGCAGGAAAUGUUACACCACAACUGUAGUGUUCUAUUGCUGCUCCUCCUGCAAGCAGUUGAUGGAUACUGUCUGUGUCUGGCAUUAUUCUUAAACUU
This is a small nucleolar RNA of Erinaceus europaeus (western European hedgehog), 98 nucleotides long. Its record names the gene SNORA63. It matches the Rfam family "Small nucleolar RNA SNORA63". Rfam says of the family: E3 belongs to the H/ACA class of snoRNAs and is involved in the processing of eukaryotic pre-rRNA and has regions of complementarity to 18S rRNA. NCBI's taxonomy places the organism in Eukaryota, Metazoa, Chordata, Mammalia, Eulipotyphla, Erinaceidae. The record is from Ensembl.